CAAAAUAGAGCUGGUUAGCAACUCAUUUACGCUGAGAUGGUCCUUGAGAUUUAGGUGUUUUGA
RNAcentral lists this transfer RNA (63 nucleotides) under Damon diadema. Its description in RNAcentral is "tRNA-Val". Lineage: Eukaryota; Metazoa; Arthropoda; Arachnida; Amblypygi; Phrynichidae. The record is from RNAcentral.